This is a long non-coding RNA of Tupaia belangeri chinensis (Chinese tree shrew), 549 nucleotides long. RefSeq lists it as uncharacterized. The record is from RefSeq and is a predicted model, not a curated record. NCBI's taxonomy places the organism in Eukaryota, Metazoa, Chordata, Mammalia, Scandentia, Tupaiidae. The transcript has 3 exons.
CGCUGCAAGACACAUAGCGGGGAAGCCCAGGGGUCCACGGACGCCAUCUGUUCUUUAACUGUGGGGGUCUGGGGAUGGAGCUGACGAGAGGACUUCUUAAGGAGCAUUCGGGUGGGGCAGAGCCACGUGUGGUCUUGCGUGUGUAGCCAUGGCCACGCCGCGAGGACAGCUUCCUCUUCACCUGGAUGAAGACGCCCCCAGCUACGGCACACCAGGGCCUGAAAGGACCCUCAGAUGUCAUUCCAUGGACACUCCUGGAGCAGGAGGGUCUUAGUAGCCACUCUCAGAAUCAUCUCAUCACAGAAGACUAGACUGGACGUGCCUGUAGAAAUCUGGCCCAAGCCCCGUUUCACAGCGCACAUGCCCGAUAGUAAAAAAAUCUCUUUAAAAAAAAUCUUGGGGGAAGCUGACCAGUCUCAUGGCCUAGGAGUUAAAGAAGCUGGAUCCUACAUGACUGACGAUGUAGUUCAAGUCCCAGCCUCGGCUGCUUGAAAAUCCCAUCAGGAACAUGUGCAUACAUACCUCAAAUUCCAACAGGUCGGAGAAAUG